Molecule: long non-coding RNA, 2244 nt
Filed under: Ursus maritimus (polar bear)
Lineage: Eukaryota; Metazoa; Chordata; Mammalia; Carnivora; Ursidae
Description: lncRNA (ENSUMAG00000002588.1)
Source: RNAcentral
CAACAGUUAGACCGAGUCACGUGGCUCGGCCCCGGGCCUGGGCUUCACCUUUUCACAGCCAGCCUUCCUCGCUUCCUGAAAGGGCGGUGGGACAGUCCCCCCCCCGCCAUCCCUCGUUCCUAUCGCCGAAGACAGGAACAGGGGUCAUUCUGGUGCUUACGGUUUGUUGCUCACCGCCUGGGGGACGGUUGCUGCAGUUUAUAUAAGUGACCUUAGAAUCCACCGGAGCCCCCUGCUUCCCUUCAGAAACUCCCUUUCUCCCGGCCCUGGUCCCCCACAGCGCCCUUCCGCCGCCAGGGUGAGGGGUCGGCUCGGAGAGGCAGGCGGCAGGAACAAUAGGCGCCCUCGCCCCGCACGGCGGAGAGCGAUUUGCAUCUCAGAGGAGCUCCGAUCGGGACUCCGCGUUUGGAUGCUGACCCUUGCGCUGAAGAUCAGCUUCAGGAAUUUCCUGCGACCUGUUAAGGUUUGCAGCUCGGAAGCAAUAGGAGGCCUUGACAUUCGUGUCCACCUCAUUCAGGGAUCUAAAAUGGCAGGCACUUGUUGGGUUCGUCCAGAUUUGCCUGACCUGCAUCUAGCUUUUGGCCUAGAGUAUACAACAUCUUAAGAUGCCUGAAGUGCUUGUGGAUAACCAAGUGAUGAACUAAGCCCACUGAAUGAGGUAGAAGGGAAUGAUGGGUAAAUCAAGUUAUGGGUUCCCCUCACUUUUUUUUUUUUCCAUUUUAGUUUCAGUGCCUGUAUUCUCAGCUUUUCAAUUAGAUUUUAAAAGGCUUAAAUGAGCUUUAUUGAGCUAUCAAGACAUUCAACAAAGUUCACAUACUGAAAGUGUACAGUUUUGGUAAUUUUGACACAUGUAUAUACCUAUGAAACUAUCACCUAUAAUCCAGAUUAUGAAUAUAUCUGUCACCCCCAAAGUUUCCUUGUGCCUCUUUAUCAUCCCAUCUGCUCAGCAGCCCCUGUCUCCAAGCAACAACCCAUUUGUCUUCUGUCACUGCAGAUUCUUUGCAUUUUUGUUUGAUUUUAUACAAAUGUAAUCCUGUAGCAUGUAUUCAUUUUUUUACCUUUUUUUACUCAGAAUAAUUACUUUGAGAUUCAUCUGAGUUGUUGCAUGUUUCUGUAGUUUAUUCCUUUUUAUUGCUAGUAGUACUCCAUUGUGUAGACAUAUCAUAAAUUGUUUAUCCACUCAUCUAUUGAUACCAGUUGGGUUAAUACCAGUUUUUGGCUAUUACAAAUAAGACUGUGAUGAACAUUCAUAUACAAGUAUUUGUAGAGAUAAAUGCUUUUACUUCUCUUUGGUAAUUACCUAGGAAUAGAAUGGCUUAGUCAUAUGGUAGGUGUGUGUCAGAUCUUUUAAGAAACUGCUGAACUUGUUUUCUAAAGUGAUUGUCCCAUUUUACAUUCCCAUCUGCAAUAUAUGAGAAUUCCAGUUCCUCUACAUCCUCACCAACUUUUGGUAUAAUCGGUCCUUUCAAUUUUAGCCAUUCUCGAGGUGUAUAGUAGUAUCUCAUUUUAGUUUUAAUUUGCAUUUCUGAGAUAACAAAUGGUGAUAAGCAUCUUUUUGUGUGCUUUUUGAUAUCCACAUAUCUUCUUUGUUAAAGUGUCCAUUCAAAUUAUUUGCCCCUUUUUGUUGUUGUUGGGCUGUUUAUUUUAUUGCUUUUUUUUUUCUUAAGAUUUUAUUUAUUUAUUUGCUAGAGAGAGAGAGAGAGCACAAGCAAGGGGAGCAGCAGGCGGAAAGAGAAGCAGGCUCCCCACUGAGCAAGGAGCCCAACGCGGGACUUGAUCCCAGAACUCUGGGAUCAUGACCUGAGCUGAAGACAGACGCUUAACCAACUGAGCCAUCCAGGCAUCCCUAUCUUACUGCUUUUUGAGGGUUUUUAAAAUAUAUACUGCAUAUAAGUUCUUUAUCAGAUAUGUGAUUUGCUAAUAUUUUCUCCCAGUCUGUGGCUUAUCUUUGCAUUCUCCUAAUAGUAUCUUUCAAAGAAUGUUCUUUUUGGCAGAGACUACUUAGUCCCAGGCCUGGCCUUAGUCUCCUCUCCUUUCACACCAGAGGCCUUUGCCACAAAUAUGCUCCCCUAGGUCCUUGGUUAGGCCAAGAAAGCACUCAAGCUUGAUUUCUCUCUUCAUAUUUAUUGGAGCUGGAGUUACUGGAGCAGCAGUGUAUGUCUUGUAUCUGGCAUUGUCCGAUCCAGAUAUCUGUUGGGAUGAAGAGUAACCCAGAACCCAGAAUAAAGUGUGUCCUAAUGAUCA